GCUGAAACACCGGUACUCGUACGAUCAUCGAAGUUAAGCAACGUCGAGCCUGGUCAGUACCUAGAUGGGUGACUGCUUGAGAAUACCAGGUGCUGUAAG
This is a non-coding RNA of Acanthosepion pharaonis, 99 nucleotides long. Lineage: Eukaryota; Metazoa; Mollusca; Cephalopoda; Sepiida; Sepiidae. The record is from the annotation of a GenBank genome assembly.